AACGAACGCUGGCGGCAUGCCUAACACAUGCAAGUCGAACGAGACCUUCGGGUCUAGUGGCGCACGGGUGCGUAACGCGUGGGAAUCUGCCCUUGGGUUCGGAAUAACAGUUAGAAAUGACUGCUAAUACCGGAUAAUGUCUUCGGACCAAAGAUUUAUCGCCCAGGGAUGAGCCCGCGUAGGAUUAGCUAGUUGGUGAGGUAAAGGCUCACCAAGGCGACGAUCCUUAGCUGGUCUGAGAGGAUGAUCAGCCACACUGGGACUGAGACACGGGCCCAGACUCCUACGGGAGGCAGCAGUGGGGAAUAUUGGACAAUGGGCGAAAGCCUGAUCCAGCAAUGCCGCGUGAGUGAUGAAGGCCUAGGGUGUAAAGCUCUUUUACCCGGGAUGAUAAUGACAGUACCGGGAGAAUAAGCCCCGGCUAACUCCGUGCCAGCAGCCGCGGUAAU
Molecule: ribosomal RNA, 449 nt
Filed under: uncultured bacterium
Lineage: Bacteria
Description: bacterial SSU rRNA
Rfam family: Bacterial small subunit ribosomal RNA
Source: RNAcentral